CAGCAGCCGCGGUAAUACAGAGGGUGCGAGCGUUAAUCGGAUUUACUGGGCGUAAAGCGUGCGUAGGCGGCUUCUUAAGUCGGAUGUGAAAUCCCUGAGCUUAACUUAGGAAUUGCAUUCGAUACUGGGAAGCUAGAGUAUGGGAGAGGAUGGUAGAAUUCCAGGUGUAGCGGUGAAAUGCGUAGAGAUCUGGAGGAAUACCGAUGGCGAAGGCAGCCAUCUGGCCUAAUACUGACGCUGAGGUACGAAAGCAUGGGGAGCAAACAGGAUUAGAUACCCGAGUAGUCCCUGUCUCUUAUAC
This 301-nucleotide ribosomal RNA is filed under the name uncultured bacterium. Its description in RNAcentral is "partial 16S ribosomal RNA". It matches the Rfam family "Bacterial small subunit ribosomal RNA", at positions 509 to 807 of the family's 1533-position model. The record is from RNAcentral.